AUCCAUUAACCAGAGGCCUCGCCGAAUAUGACACUGACGCUUAAUAUGGACCGAAUUCUCUCCGGAUCCAUAAAAGCUCUGUGUCAAACUCGGCGAGUGCCCCCGAUCCCUUUUUAUAUU
Molecule: microRNA precursor, 120 nt
Filed under: Caenorhabditis remanei
Lineage: Eukaryota; Metazoa; Nematoda; Chromadorea; Rhabditida; Rhabditidae
Source: RNAcentral